UUUGUAUUCUUGAAUCUGGAUAAUUCGCUGAGUCAUGUUGGACUGAAAUUCUGUUAGAGCUGGAACAAUGUGAGACUAGUUUGCAUCCUAAGUUAGUUGCAUAGUAGUGUAGUUGCAUUUUCAUUGUUCUGUUUUAGUAUGCAUUGCUUGAGGGCAAGCAAUAGUUCAAGUUUGGGGGUAUUUGAUAAGUGGGUUUUACACCUACUUAUUGGAUAUCAAUUCACGCAAAUUAUGCCCAUCUUAAGUACAUUGUAGUAUGUUUUUAGUUGCAUUUCAUGUUAUUUUGCAUUGCAUAUACUUAAAACUCCUUUGGUGUAAAAGUGCAGGAUAUGGCAUGAUUUGGUGAGGCUAGAUGGUAUGAGGCUGAUGGAUGCAUGGCGUGAGGAUCAAGUGGAGCAAAGGGACUAAGAAUGAAUGAAGGAAAAGAAUGAGCAGCAAGAUCAGUUGCAGCAGCAGAACCAGAACUCAAAGUUGCAGAAGCCGCGCGGCUAUACAGGCCUACACACGCGCGCCCGCGCGAUGACCCGGAUUUGCCAGAUUUUGAAGACGCACGCUCGCGCGAGGAUUACACUAGGGGAGUGUGCGGCCGCGCACGAUGACUGCUGAUGCUGAGCUGUUUAUUUUAAUUUCUAAUUUUAAAGAGUUAUAACCACUUAAAACUAUUCUGACUGGUGUCAGACG
Molecule: long non-coding RNA, 681 nt
Filed under: Panax ginseng (ginseng)
Lineage: Eukaryota; Viridiplantae; Streptophyta; Magnoliopsida; Apiales; Araliaceae
Description: long non-coding RNA (PGIN_LNC014474)
Source: RNAcentral